UAAGUGCAAAAAUUGGGUUACCUCCCAACAAGUACUAAGUUUAACAUCUUCAGUCGGAUGCUGUUUCACUUUAUUUUUUUAGUUUUAAUUUAAUUUUAAAAAAAAAAGAGAAGAAGAAGAAGAAGAGAUAGAUGAGAAGUUAUUUUUUUUUUUAACAAACACAUUAUACAAACAAAUUUAGCUAGGAUCAACCUAAAUCUAAAUAGCUCCUAACUGUCA
Molecule: long non-coding RNA, 219 nt
Filed under: Elaeis guineensis (African oil palm)
Lineage: Eukaryota; Viridiplantae; Streptophyta; Magnoliopsida; Arecales; Arecaceae
Description: long non-coding RNA (EGUI_LNC043935)
Source: RNAcentral